CUUGGGGCGCUCGGCGCCUCCUGCGCCGGGCUCAGCCCCGAGGAGGGACGCGCUUGGCCGGCGGCGGCUGCUGGCCCUGUGCGCGGCUGUUGCAGCUUGCUGCGUUGCUCCCCCAGGCACUUCGGGGGCUGGGGCAGCGAGGGUUUCCUACCCCUCCUCCCAGCGAUUCUUGGCGUUUAAAAAACGUAAAGCCGGUUAUGGCUGCCUGUGGGGGAAAUAAAGAGGAGCUACAGCGCGAGGAAGCUCGUGGUGUUGUGUUGUUUGUGAAGGGAAAAGAAGUCGUAUUUCAAAGUUCUCUUCCUUCUCCACUGAGAACUUGAAUUUCAAAGGGCAGGGCUUGCAUAACUUCUCAGCAUCAUUCUUUAAACAAGGUAGAAAAAAACAGCACAAGAAAGAAAAAAAACUGCUUUCCCUGCCAAGAAGCCAACUGUGUGGGGACUGCCAUGCAGUGGUAUCAGGAGAGCAGGAUAAAAGCUUAACUUUAUAUUAAAAUGAUUCCAGAGUUAAAACCAGCAGGCUGGGAAGGUUCAUUCCAGUACCAAUUCCGGUAUUUAUGCAGAAUAAUAAGGUGGAGAGAAAAGAACAUCCUGCUGGGAGAGCGCAACCCUCAGAUACAUCUAGUGGAGUUACUACGUGAGGAAAACAAGCUUCUCUCACUUGCACAACCUUUUUAAGCUAGUGCAUGCAAGGACACUCACUAGCUGGAGUGGGAUGCCUGCUGUUAAUGCUUCUCUAWCUGAGAGAAGGAAAAAUUCCUGAGAGACACUGUGCAACAAUGAAACCCCAACAGUGAAGAGCAUCCUGCAGGACACAGUACUUCCUUUCUUCACAUGCACUACAUGCUACCACCUGUAUUAGGAUCUACAGCUACAGGACCUACGUAAAAAUAUGCACAUAGAUAAAUAUAUUGCAUCUUCUUUCAGUUUAGUUGCUUAAGUUAGCUGCAGGCUGACAUACGAUAGAGUUCACAUUUAAAUCUUCAGAGUAAAACACUUUGAAAGCAAACCUAUUAAGGUUAAUAGAAUGAACUUACAAUGCCCAUGGUUAGAAAGGAGGGGGGAGUGAGACACUCAGUAAAUUGUACAUCAAAUAGCCUGUCACCUCUAGGCCUGCAACUCAAGGCCUGCUAGUGGAUCAUUCUAUUAUCUUUAAUGGGCUUAAUUUUAAAGUGGUAUGCUCAUCAAAUUUAAAAUAUCAGUGUCAGUUUUGUUAUCUGUGAUCCUGCAUCUACCUUAAAUGUGUUAAUGACGAAAGUGUGCAGUCUGAAAAAGUGCAAAGGCAUCAUACAUACAACAUUAGCUUAAAAAUAAAAGCCUUUGUCUAAAGUUUUAAACA
This 1335-nucleotide long non-coding RNA is filed under the name Dromaius novaehollandiae (emu). RNAcentral's name for it is "lncRNA (ENSDNVG00000008389.1)". Lineage: Eukaryota; Metazoa; Chordata; Aves; Casuariiformes; Dromaiidae. The record is from RNAcentral.